This 200-nucleotide unclassified non-coding RNA is filed under the name soil metagenome. RNAcentral's name for it is "partial contains internal transcribed spacer 2 and large subunit ribosomal RNA". The record is from RNAcentral.
CACAACCAAUGCCAAUGCAGCAAUGCGACUUGCCUCACCGAGAGUGUGGUGGAAUGCAGAUUAUAGAGUGGAGGUGAGGAGCCUCUUGGAGCCAGAGACGCGACGCGAGUCGCAGGUCUUGUCCAAGAAUCUCUCUACCCAACACAAUCAAUCACACAAUCACCGGUCUCAAAUCAGGCAGGACUACCCGCUGAACUUAA